CAAACCAAAGCUGGCGACCGGCGCACGGGUGAGUAACACGUAUCCAACCUGCCGAUAACUCGGGGAUAGCCUUUCGAAAGAAAGAUUAAUACCCGAUGGUAUAAUCAGACCGCAUGGUCUUGUUAUUAAAGAAUUUCGGUUAUCGAUGGGGAUGCGUUCCCUUAGGCAGUUGGUGAGGUAACGGCUCACCAAACCUUCGAUGGAUAGGGGUUCUGAGAGGAAGGUCCCCCACAUUGGAACUGAGACACGGUCCAA
This 255-nucleotide ribosomal RNA is filed under the name uncultured bacterium. Its description in RNAcentral is "partial 16S ribosomal RNA". It matches the Rfam family "Bacterial small subunit ribosomal RNA", at positions 74 to 334 of the family's 1533-position model. The record is from RNAcentral.